GGGCCGUUAGCUCAACUAGGUAGAGCAGUGGACUCUUAAUCCAUAGGUUAUAGGUUCGAUUCCUAUACGGCCCACCA
RNAcentral lists this transfer RNA (77 nucleotides) under Gammaproteobacteria bacterium. RNAcentral describes it as "tRNA-Lys". It matches the Rfam family "tRNA". Rfam says of the family: Transfer RNA (tRNA) molecules are approximately 80 nucleotides in length. Their secondary structure includes four short double-helical elements and three loops (D, anti-codon, and T loops). Further hydrogen bonds mediate the characteristic L-shaped molecular structure. tRNAs have two regions of fundamental functional importance: the anti-codon, which is responsible for specific mRNA codon recognition, and the 3' end, to which the tRNAs corresponding amino acid is attached (by aminoacyl-tRNA synthetases). tRNAs cope with the degeneracy of the genetic code in two manners: having more than one tRNA (with a specific anti-codon) for a particular amino acid; and 'wobble' base-pairing, i.e. permitting non-standard base-pairing at the 3rd anti-codon position. The record is from RNAcentral. Lineage: Bacteria; Pseudomonadati; Pseudomonadota; Gammaproteobacteria.